AACUUGACUCCGCCUCAUCAUGUGUCAGUUUGCUCCAAGCAGCAGUCAUCUUCGACCUUUCAACUGGGAACUGGGUUGAGUGGUUUCCGCACUGAGACUGGAAGCAGUAGUGAUUCUAUUGAGGAUGCUUCCUUCACACAUAGUUUUAGUGAUCAUUCUGAGAAUUCAGAAUUUACAUUCUCAGCAGGUCAAUGUUAAUGAGUGUCUCGUGGAAAGUCAUCUAGAUGGUACUUCCUUAAAAGGUCAGCCACCCAUGGAAUCACUAUCCGCUGAUGCACUACUCACAAGCAAUGUGGGUCAGGAUACUGGAAAUCUGCAUUCAGAAUCAGAGACCGUAGCAGAUGCAAGUAUCGAAGGCUAUACAGCUGAGUCUGGUCCUGAUGUUUCUGGUCCCUUAGUAAAUUCUCAACCACUUCCAACAUUUCUCUUAUCUUUGGGGGAACAAGGUCCAAUAGGCAUGGGCGUGCUCUUGGUUGAUGUGGUGAGUAUACAUUCCAA
This 498-nucleotide unclassified non-coding RNA is filed under the name Hevea brasiliensis (rubber tree). Lineage: Eukaryota; Viridiplantae; Streptophyta; Magnoliopsida; Malpighiales; Euphorbiaceae. The record is from RNAcentral.